GGGAGGCAGCAGUGGGGAAUAUUGCACAAUGGGCGAAAGCCUGAUGCAGCGACGCCGCGUGAGGGAUGAAGGCCUUCGGGUUGUAAACCUCUUUCAGCAGGGAAGAAGCGAAAGUGACGGUACCUGCAGAAGAAGCACCGGCUAACUACGUGCCAGCAGCCGCGGUAAUACGUAGGGUGCGAGCGUUGUCCGGAAUUAUUGGGCGUAAAGAGCUUGUAGGCGGUUUGUCGCGUCUGCAGUGAAAAUCCGGGGCUCAACCCCGGACUUGCUGUGGGUACGGGCAGACUAGAGUAUGGUAGGGGAGACCGGAAUUCCUGGUGUAGCGGUGGAAUGCGCAGAUAUCAGGAGGAACACCGAUGGCGAAGGCAGGUCUCUGGGCCAUAACUGACGCUGAGAAGCGAAAGCAUGGGGAGCGAACAGGAUUAGAUACCC
RNAcentral lists this ribosomal RNA (432 nucleotides) under uncultured bacterium. Its description in RNAcentral is "bacterial SSU rRNA". It matches the Rfam family "Bacterial small subunit ribosomal RNA", at positions 343 to 787 of the family's 1533-position model. The record is from RNAcentral.